RNAcentral lists this ribosomal RNA (499 nucleotides) under uncultured Lachnospiraceae bacterium. RNAcentral describes it as "partial 16S ribosomal RNA". Lineage: Bacteria; Bacillati; Bacillota; Clostridia; Lachnospirales; Lachnospiraceae. The record is from RNAcentral.
CACGUAGUUAGCCGGGGCUUCUUAGUCAGGUACCGUCAUUUUCUUCCCUGCUGAUAGAGCUUUACAUACCGAAAUACUUCUUCACUCACGCGGCGUCGCUGCAUCAGGGUUUCCCCCAUUGUGCAAUAUUCCCCACUGCUGCCUCCCGUAGGAGUUUGGGCCGUGUCUCAGUCCCAAUGUGGCCGUUCACCCUCUCAGGCCGGCUACUGAUCGUCGCCUUGGUAGGCCGUUACCCCACCAACCAGCUAAUCAGACGCGGGCUCAUCUUAUACUACCGGAGUUUUUCACACAGAAACAUGCGUUCCCGUGCGCUUAUGCGGUAUUAGCAGUCAUUUCUAACUGUUAUCCCCCUGUAUAAGGCAGAUUACCCACGUGUUACUCACCCGUCCGCCGCUAAGUCAAUUUCGAUUCCAUCCGAAAACUUCCUCAAAAUCGCUUCGCUCGACUUGCAUGUGUUAGGCACGCCGCCAGCGUUCAUCCUGAGCCAGGAUCAAACUCU